This 404-nucleotide ribosomal RNA is filed under the name uncultured bacterium. RNAcentral describes it as "partial 16S ribosomal RNA". It matches the Rfam family "Bacterial small subunit ribosomal RNA", at positions 33 to 526 of the family's 1533-position model. The record is from RNAcentral.
GAUGACGCUGACAGAAUGCUUAACACAUGCAAGUCAACUGGUGGCGGACGGGUGAGUAAUGUCUGGGAAACUGCCUGAUGGAGGGGGAUAACUACUGGAAACGGUAGCUAAUACCGCAUACCAUCGGAUGUGCCCAGAUGGGAUUAGCUUGUUGGUGGGGUAACGGCUCACCAAGGCGACGAUCCCUAGCUGGUCUGAGAGGAUUACCAGCCACACUGGAACUGAGACACGGUCCAGACUCCUACGGGAGGCAGCAGUGGGGAAUAUUGCACAAUGGGCGCAAGCCUGAUACAGCCAUGCCGCGUGUAUGAAGAAGGCCUUCGGGUUGUAAAGUACUUUCAGCGGGGAGGCGUUACCCGCAGAAGAAGCACCGGCUAACUCCGUGCCAGCAGCCGCGGUAAUAC